Molecule: unclassified non-coding RNA, 256 nt
Filed under: uncultured fungus
Lineage: Eukaryota; Fungi
Description: partial contains 5.8S ribosomal RNA, internal transcribed spacer 2, and large subunit ribosomal RNA
Rfam family: 5.8S ribosomal RNA (bases 1-52)
Source: RNAcentral
AACGCACAUUGCGCCCGCCAGUAUUCUGGCGGGCAUGCCUGUUCGAGCGUCAUUUCAACCCUCAAGCCCCCGGGCUUGGUGUUGGGGACCGGCCGCCUCACCGCGCGCCGCCCCCGAAAUGCAGUGGCGACCUCGCCGCAGCCUCCCCUGCGUAGUAGCACAACCUCGCACCGGAGCGCGGAGACGGUCACGCCGUAAAACGCCCAACUUUCUUAGAGUUGACCUCGGAUCAGGUAGGAAUACCCGCUGAACUUAA